CUCAUGCUUUCACCAGGACUCCUGCUGAUGUGGGGCGCUAGAUAACAAAUUCUUCGUCAACAAAUUUACUUCCUGUUCGCUCUCAGUGCAACUGCAGUAAAUUUUCUUGUGAUCCAAAGAAAUAGCUCCCUUUAAGCAACCACUAAUGGGCAGUUUAUAAUCAGCGACGAAGUGUGUGACAAAUAAUGUCCUUAAAUGGACUCAAGUUUCUAAAAUAAUGAUAUAUUUUCCGAAAAAGUAACAAAGUUUGAUUCACAAGAUGAACAAAGGACGAGCGGUGAGUUUAGUGCUGCUGCUGGGGACGACGCUGGCAGCGGCUCGUGUACAGAUUCAGGAAGGCAGGUACAGCGGGCUGAGGGUGGCCGUGGCUCCUGAUGCAGAGGAACCUUUAGAUGGCCAGCAGUUCAUUUCUGAUGUCAAGACCUUCAUAAGGGCUGGCUCAGAGGCCCUGAACUUCGCUAUGGACAAUAGAGUCUCAUUCCAUGACUUCACACUCAUCAUACCGAGGACUUGGAACGCCU
Hyalella azteca is the source of this 521-nucleotide long non-coding RNA. RefSeq lists it as uncharacterized. The record is from RefSeq and is a predicted model, not a curated record. Lineage: Eukaryota; Metazoa; Arthropoda; Malacostraca; Amphipoda; Hyalellidae. The transcript is spliced from 3 exons.